Molecule: ribosomal RNA, 451 nt
Filed under: Fusarium brachygibbosum
Lineage: Eukaryota; Fungi; Ascomycota; Sordariomycetes; Hypocreales; Nectriaceae
Description: eukaryotic LSU rRNA
Rfam family: 5.8S ribosomal RNA (bases 110-263)
Source: RNAcentral
UUGCCUACGGCGGAUCAGCCCGCGCCCCGUAAAACGGGACGGCCCGCCGCAGGAACCACAAAACUCUGAUUUUAGUGUAACUUCUGAGUCUAAAAAACAAAUAAAUCAAAACUUUCAACAACGGAUCUCUUGGUUCUGGCAUCGAUGAAGAACGCAGCAAAAUGCGAUAAGUAAUGUGAAUUGCAGAAUUCAGUGAAUCAUCGAAUCUUUGAACGCACAUUGCGCCCGCCAGUAUUCUGGCGGGCAUGCCUGUUCGAGCGUCAUUUCAACCCUCAAGCCCCCGGGUUUGGUGUUGGGGAUCGGGCUGUACUCCAGCCCGGCCCCGAAAUCUAGUGGCGGUCUCGCUGCAGCCUCCAUUGCGUAGUAGCUAACACCUCGCAACUGGAACGCGGCGCGGCCAAGCCGUUAAACCCCCAACUUCUGAAUGUUGACCUCGGAUCAGGUAGGAAUA